UGAGCGGGGAGCCGGGGCAGACGUCCGUAGCGCCCCCUCCCGAGGAGGUCGAGCCGGGCAGUGGGGUCCGCAUCGUGGUGGAGUACUGGUGAGCGGCCCCGGCUGGAGGACCCGCACCCUGGUCCCGCGGGCCGGACGGAGGUGGGUCCACGGGAGGCCCCACCCCCGAAUCCCCAGCCCAGCCCCAUCUCUUGACUCCCCAGUGAACCCUGCGGCUUCGAGGCGACCUACCUGGAGCUGGCCAGUGCUGUGAAGGAGCAGUAUCCGGGCAUCGAGAUCGAGUCGCGCCUCGGGGGCACAGGUGAGGCUCGCAGAACACCUGCUGGGUCAGUCUGUGCUCUGAAUCCCAGCUCUCCCGCUUUCUAGUUCUGACAUUGGCUGCUUUAUGUAAAGUGCCCGCAGUGCCUGGCACAUGGUAAAAUGUCCGGCCAACAUGAGUUCCCUUCCAUAGGUCAGGGGGUGUCACAGAGGCCUGUGGGGAAAAACCUAUUAGACUGCAAUCGUGUAGGGUUGGAGGGGAGGGAGUCCUUUAUUGAGUGUUGCGAGGGGCACACAGGCGAGGCCUCCCUCAGGUUCCCUGGAGUUGACCCAGGGUUGGGGAAUUGCUUAAGGAGCUACAAAUGGGUCUCCAGUGGGAUUGAUGGGGGACUUGAAGGCGGGGGACCCCUUUGGAGGAACUCCUGACUUCUGCCUAUGUUCUCAGUGUACCAUUUAUCUGUUGAUUUCUUACCAGGUGCCUUUGAGAUAGAGAUAAAUGGACAGCUGGUGUUCUCCAAGCUGGAGAAUGGGGGCUUUCCCUAUGAGAAAGAUGUGAGUAUUUACAGCGUUGGGAGGACCUCUUGGUCACCCUACCCCAACAGUGCAUCAUCCUGUCAUUCCACUCCUCUAGCUCAUUGAGGCCAUCCGAAGAGCCAGUAAUGGAGAAACCCUAGAAAAGAUCACCAACAGCCGUCCUCCCUGCGUCAUCCUGUGACUGCACAGGACUCUGGGUUCCUGCUCUGUUCUGGGGUCCAAACCUUGGUCUCCCUUUGGUCCUGCUGGGAGCUCCCCCUGCCUCUUUCCCCUACUUAGCUCCUUAGCAAAGAGACCCUGGCCUCCACUUUGCCCUUUGGGUACAAAGAAGGAAUAGAAGAUUCCGUGGCCUUGGGGGCAGGAGAGAGACACUCUCCAUGAACACUUCUCCAGCCACCUCAUACCCCCUUCCCAGGGUAAGUGCCCACGAAAGCCCAGUCCACUCUUCGCCUCGGUAAUACCUGUCUGAUGCCACAGAUUUUAUUUAUUCUCCCCUAACCCAGGGCAAUGUCAGCUAUUGGCAGUAAAGUGGCGCUACAAACACUAAUGCUAACUAGUGUGUGUUUUUAUACGUCCAGUCUGGGAAUGUGGGGGGCACAGAAGUCCGGUCAGCCCAGCCUUUGCACCGCCAGGGUGGCUGUGCUGGCUGGGUGGGCUUUCUGGACAGCUACUCCUUAGGUCAGUGAGCUCCUCUGGCAUAGCCAAGGCAAGGAAAAUGAGUCCCACAGUAGACCCUGCCUCGUCUUUCCCCCACCCUACCCACCACUCUCCUCACUCACAAGGAGGAAAUAACCCCAUUCUGGUGAGUGGCCUUAGGAAUUAGUUCGUUCUAAAUAAGAAUGAUCUGGUCGUCAAAGGGCUCUCAGAUCUGAAUCCAGCUUCCCGAUCUCCCCCAACCCUGAAGCUGGAGAACUGGAUGUCUGGCUCCUCAUCCAAGCUUUCUGAAGAUUCCCAGCCACUCCCUCCAGGAAAAGAGGAAUUGAGUGUAAGGUGAGCAGGAAGGGAUGGCACAGAGCCACCCCCAGACAUAGGCCGGUGCCUAGCUGUUUUCCAAAAUAUAUUUGCAAAUGGACAAAGUGGGUGUGGAGAAGGACCCCCCACACUUGCCUCCCCAUACAACACCCAUUCUCCCCCUGGGUCUUUAUUUCAUCUUUAAAAAAACAAAACAAAAAAAGUAAAAACUAAACAGAAAAGCACUCUGUACAAA
RNAcentral lists this long non-coding RNA (1999 nucleotides) under Homo sapiens (human). Its description in RNAcentral is "non-protein coding lnc-MIEN1-2:2". The record is from RNAcentral. Lineage: Eukaryota; Metazoa; Chordata; Mammalia; Primates; Hominidae.